This 87-nucleotide transfer RNA is filed under the name Streptomyces fuscichromogenes. RNAcentral describes it as "tRNA-Asp". The record is from RNAcentral. Lineage: Bacteria; Bacillati; Actinomycetota; Actinomycetes; Kitasatosporales; Streptomycetaceae.
CCGGCGGCUGCUCGACGGGCAGCGAGCGCACGGUGUCGGCGUGCGCCCGCACCAGCGUGGCCACGCUGUCCGGAACGGCCCGCCGGA